RNAcentral lists this ribosomal RNA (511 nucleotides) under uncultured bacterium. Its description in RNAcentral is "bacterial SSU rRNA". It matches the Rfam family "Bacterial small subunit ribosomal RNA", at positions 37 to 518 of the family's 1533-position model. The record is from RNAcentral.
UGGCGGCGUGCCGUAAUACAUGCAAGUCGAACGGUCUUUCUAUGGAAGCUUGCUUCCACUGAGAGGAUAGUGGCGAACGGGUGAGUAACACGUGGGUAACCCUGCCCAUAAGAGGGGGGAGUAACAUCCGGAAACGGGUGCUAAUACCGCAUAGUUUCUUGAUCGCAUGAUUGAGAAAGGAAAGACGGCCUUUGUGCUGUCGCUUAUGGAUGGACCCGCGGCGUAUUAGUUAGUUGGUGAGGUAACGGCUCACCAAGACGAUGAUACGUAGCCGACCUGAGAGGGUGAUCGGCCACAUUGGGACUGAGACACGGCCCAAACUCCUACGGGAGGCAGCAGUAGGGAAUCUUCCGCAAUGGACGAAAGUCUGACGGAGCAACGCCGCGUGAGUGAAGAAAGGUUUUCGGAUCGUAAAACUCUGUUGUCAGAGAAGAACAGGUUGGAGAGUAACUGCUCCAGCCUUGACGGUAUCUGACCAGAAAGCCACGGCUAACUACGUGCCAGCCGCCGC